AUGUUCAAUGGCGGAGGUGGCGAGCCCGGUGCUAGCGGUUCGACGCCGAUGUGUAACUUUCUUCAGAAGCCACCCAAGAAUAUCCAGAAGCGUCCUACCGCCUCCGUCGGCUCCGAUGACGAAGAAGGUAGUGGCGGUGAUGAUUCCAGGGCCAUCGCGGCGACGCGAUCUAAGAAGCCGCCAUCUACUACCAGCAAGCUCUUCUUCUCCUCUGCCAACAGCUCACACAAGCCACACCGUUUCCAGUUCAAGUCGUCCCAGACGAUUCAGUCCUCCACCGACAACCGCGCCACUGCAAUGCUCGAGACGGAGACGACAUACGACCAUGAUGCUCGUGCCAUCCGCGAGCGACAGCUCAAGCAGGCCAAGGAGUCCCUCAAGAAGAACCCCUCUGCCUCAUCCUCCUCCGGGAGCUACAAGGGGAUCCACGGCUACACGGAUCACAAGGCCGACUUCAGGCGGGAGCACAAGGUUUCCGGAGAGAAGGCUGGCGACACGCACGGCCCCCUGCGGUCGUUAGUGCACAUACGCCUCUCAACGCGGUUCGACUACCAACCCGACAUUUGCAAGGAUUAUAAGGAGACGGGCUAUUGUGGCUACGACGAUUCCUGCAAGUUCAUGCACGACAAAGGUGACUACAAGUCUGGGUGGCAGCUCGAGAGGGAGUGGGAUGAGGCCGAGAAAGCCCACAAACGACGCAUAGUGAUGCGUGAGUUGGAUGUUAGUGAUGUCAAGGCAGAGGAGGAAGACAGUGAUGACGAGAACGCACUGCCCUUUGCCUGCUUCAUAUGCAGGGAACCCUUUGUUGACCCGGUAGUCACAAAGUGUAAGCAUUAUUUCUGCGAGCAUUGCGCAUUAAAGCAUCACUCGAAGAACAAGAAAUGCUUCGUCUGCAAUAAACCGACGCUUGGCAUCUUCAAUGCAGCGCAUGAGAUCCGAAAGAAGAUUGCUCAGGACAAGAAGCAGCAGGAUCUUUGA
RNAcentral lists this ribosomal RNA (978 nucleotides) under Triticum aestivum (bread wheat). Its description in RNAcentral is "partial small subunit ribosomal RNA". Lineage: Eukaryota; Viridiplantae; Streptophyta; Magnoliopsida; Poales; Poaceae. The record is from RNAcentral.